CCUCAAACCCUAUGGAAUGAUUAGUUCUAAAGUAGUGGUUCUCAACCUGUAGGUUAUGACUCCUUUGGGGUGGGGGGAGUCGAAUGAACCUUUCAUGGGUCGCUUAAUAGCAAAUUUGCAGAGAUGGAGUAAUGAAAAUGAUUUUGUGGUUAGGGGGUCACGGCAUGAACUGUAUUAAAAGGUUGCAGCAUUAGGGAGCUUGAGAACCACUGCUCAAGAGGGCUGGAAUGGACAGUGUAAGUCAACUACCAGCUGAGGCCCCUCAGCAUUGUCCCAUGUCAACUGCUUUGGUGGUGCACGGGAAUAACUUCAGAUUUCCUGCCUCACCGGCUGAAUCAGGCCAAAGUAAGUGGCAUUGUGGUUAUUCACACCACAUGGGCACUCGAGACAUUCUUUGCUGGGCCAGAGAGGACAAGCAUAUCUCCCCAUUAUGGUCUGAGGCAGCAUUCUAUUACCAGCCACAGUGUGUCUGCUAUAAGGAUCUAAGUGGGAGUGGUAGACCAGCGGCAUUUCCAACUGCUGUUGGAAGAACAUGCUCUAGGGAUUUCAAGGCUGUUGACCUUUUGUUGGAAGCACAUCUCCAGGCCUCAGUUGCAGCUACAACCGACCAGCAACUGAAUUAACAGUAACUCCUGAUUCUGGAAGUAACUUUGGAGGCCUGGUUUCCUGUUAAAAAGGUCCAGGUCAUUCACAUAGUUUUCCAUCGUGCCCGUAAUCUGGGCACUUCUAAUGAAUAAAGAGUAAUCAAUUCUAUUCUAAUUCUGAUAAUUGGUUGCAUAGCCAUUCUUACCCAUUAAACUCAUGGGCCCCUCGAUUUUUUAAUCAGUUGGUUAAUCAUAUAGGUCACAUGCUCAAUGCAGAAAUUCUUGACCAGUUAACUGGUUUUAAAGGUUUGAUUGAGGAAUCAGGUGGCGCAAACUCACGCACAGCUACUGACGAAGUGGCGCUUUGGAAGAAAGGCGCUUGCAAUCUGCUUCCAAAAGCCCACAGCCUUUGAAAGCCCUAUAGACAAUUCUGUUUAACUGAUUUACUCACCCAGAGGGAGAGUCAAUGACAAUUGGUUGUGUUGUUUUUGUUUUUGUUUUUUUUCUGGUUUGACAGAAACUGAUUAAUGUACAGGUUUCCAAAGAACCCCUUUGAGACCAGAAACCCCUGAAUGUCAAAGGUAUGUUGUAUCCCAAGGUUUGUGCAGACCAAACUCCUAGCCUACAAAUACUUUGUAUUUUCAAGCUCUGGGUCUUAACCUGUCCCUGAAAUCUUAAUUAGCAAAGAUAAUUUUCUUUUCUUUUUUUUUCCAAACAAAGCUCAUUUUCUGACAUGCUCUCACCCCAAAGCCCAUUUCAAGGUCCAAAAGAAAUUGAAGGCUGGGCUUUGCAUAUGACCUUCAAAUCUCAAACCAUUGCUCCCACCCUAUCUUGAGCAGAAAUCUGCUUUUUCCUCACUUUGCCUUCCAGCUUAAUUUCUUCUCUAUCUCUAUUCACUCUCUAAAAUUGGAAUAAUCAAUAGUGCCCACUUCAAAGAAGGAUGGUUGUUGGGUGCCAUGGAGUCACUUCUGACUCAGACUAAAUGACUGUAAAGUACUUGGACAAGUCCCUGACAUCCCCAUAUCCUUGCCCCACUGAAAAUAGAGCGUGUAGAAAACUAAAAAGAGGCCUUAACAAACCUGAUCUUGAAUACUUGAGGUAUGUAGAAAAGCUUAUUAGAUAAUAAACUUUCAUCAAAAGAGAACUUGACAGAUCCCUUACCUACCUAUAUUCCUGUUCAUCCCUUAGCAGGUCCACAAUCCCUUUUAUUAUGAUUCCAGAAAGCACAAAGUUCUGGAAAAGAAAAGUUAAUCGUUUUUUAGUGGUAAAAGCUGACCUGAUGCUUUUCAAAAUCUUUUAUUCUCAAUAGCUGGCCUCAAACCAUUAAAAUGACCAUGGAACCUGCAUUAUGCUUGUAACUGAUGAAUUUGGGUAUGUGAAAAUUCAUUUUGUGUUUGUGAGUGUGAACAUUUCCAUAAUAAAAGGUUAAAACAGUU
Echinops telfairi (small Madagascar hedgehog) is the source of this 2020-nucleotide long non-coding RNA. RefSeq lists it as uncharacterized. The record is from RefSeq and is a predicted model, not a curated record. The transcript has 2 exons. Lineage: Eukaryota; Metazoa; Chordata; Mammalia; Afrosoricida; Tenrecidae.